RNAcentral lists this ribosomal RNA (301 nucleotides) under uncultured bacterium. Its description in RNAcentral is "partial 16S ribosomal RNA". It matches the Rfam family "Bacterial small subunit ribosomal RNA", at positions 509 to 807 of the family's 1533-position model. The record is from RNAcentral.
CAGCAGCUGCGGGAAAACGUAGGUGGCAAGCGUUGUCCGGAAUUAUUGGGCGUAAAGCGCGCGCAGGUGGUUUAAUAAGUCUGAUGUGAAAGCCCACGGCUCAACCGUGGAGGGUCAUUGGAAACUGUUAAGCUUGAGUGCAGGAGAGAAAAGUGGAAUUCCUAGUGUAGCGGUGAAAUGCGUAGAGAUUAGGAGGAACACCAGUGGCGAAGGCGGCUUUUUGGCCUGUAACUGACACUGAGGCGCGAAAGCGUGGGGAGCAAACAGGAUUAGAUACCCCAGUAGUCCCUGUCUCUUAUAC